This is a regulatory RNA element of Rhizobium sp. LC145, 95 nucleotides long. It matches the Rfam family "chrB-a RNA". NCBI's taxonomy places the organism in Bacteria, Pseudomonadati, Pseudomonadota, Alphaproteobacteria, Hyphomicrobiales, Rhizobiaceae. The record is from Rfam.
GGUAUGGGGUCUGCGAGUACCCCACGAGGCGCCAUGCCGAAAUUCGCGUCCUUCAUAUGGCUAUAACAUAUGUUUCCUAGAGGACACGGAUCAUG